GUGCUGGCACAUGUGCACAAGUAUGCAUGUGUAUGUGUGUGCACAUACACACACAUAUACACACCCA
Molecule: microRNA precursor, 67 nt
Filed under: Dipodomys ordii (Ord's kangaroo rat)
Lineage: Eukaryota; Metazoa; Chordata; Mammalia; Rodentia; Heteromyidae
Description: miRNA (ENSDORG00000026105.1)
Source: RNAcentral